RNAcentral lists this ribosomal RNA (272 nucleotides) under uncultured prokaryote. RNAcentral describes it as "partial 16S ribosomal RNA". It matches the Rfam family "Bacterial small subunit ribosomal RNA", at positions 524 to 796 of the family's 1533-position model. The record is from RNAcentral.
UACAGAGGUCUCAAGCGUUGUUCGGAUUUAUUGGGCGUAAAGGGUGCGUAGGCGGCGGAGCAAGUCUGAUGUGAAAUCCCAGAGCUCAACUCUGGAACUGCAUUGGAUACUGCUUUGCUAGAGUGCUGGAGAGGAGACUGGAAUUUACGGUGUAGCAGUGAAAUGCGUAGAUAUCGUAAGGAAGGCCGGUGGCGAAGGCGAGUCUCUGGACAGUUACUGACGCUGAGGCACGAAGGCCAGGGGAGCAAACGGGAUUAGAUACCCGGUAGUCC